RNAcentral lists this ribosomal RNA (370 nucleotides) under uncultured bacterium. RNAcentral describes it as "bacterial SSU rRNA". It matches the Rfam family "Bacterial small subunit ribosomal RNA", at positions 28 to 402 of the family's 1533-position model. The record is from RNAcentral.
GACGAACGCUGGCGGCGUGCUUAACACAUGCAAGUCGAACGGUAAGGCCCUUCGGGGUACACGAGUGGCGAACGGGUGAGUAACACGUGGGUGAUCUGCCCUGCACUUUGGGAUAAGCCUGGGAAACUGGGUCUAAUACCGAAUAUGACCAUGGACUUCACGGUUUGUGGUGGAAAGCUUUUGCGGUGUGGGAUGGGCCCGCGGCCUAUCAGCUUGUUGGUGGGGUAAUGGCCUACCAAGGCGACGACGGGUAGCCGGCCUGAGAGGGUGACCGGCCACACUGGGACUGAGAUACGGCCCAGACUCCUACGGGAGGCAGCAGUGGGGAAUAUUGCACAAUGGGCGCAAGCCUGAUGCAGCGACGCCGCGU